This 237-nucleotide ribosomal RNA is filed under the name uncultured bacterium. Its description in RNAcentral is "partial 16S ribosomal RNA". It matches the Rfam family "Bacterial small subunit ribosomal RNA", at positions 118 to 354 of the family's 1533-position model. The record is from RNAcentral.
UGAGGAACCCACCCCGGAGACCGGGAUAACCCUCCGAAAGGAGAGCUAAUACCGGAUGUCCUCAUCGGAUCGCAUGUUCUGAUGAGGAAAUGGAUUCCGCUCCGGGACGGCCUCGCGGCCUAUCAGCUAGUUGGUGAGGUAACGGCCCACCAAGGCGACGACGGGUAGCUGGUCUGAGAGGAUGGCCAGCCACAUUGGGACUGAGACACGGCCCAGACUCCGUACGGGGGGCAGNAG